AUGCAGCGACGCCGCGUGAGGGAUGACGGCCUUCGGGUUGUAAACCUCUUUCAGCAGGGACGAAGCGCGAGUGACGGUACCUGCRGAAGAAGCACCGGCCAACUACGUGCCAGCAGCCGCGGUAAUACGUAGGGUGCGAGCGUUGUCCGGAAUUACUGGGCGUAAAGAGCUCGUAGGCGGUUUGUCGCGUCGUCUGUGAAAUUCUGCAGCUYAACUGCRGGCGUGCAGGCGAUACGGGCAGACUUGAGUACUACAGGGGAGACUGGAAUUCCUGGUGUAGCGGUGAAAUGCGCAGAUAUCARGAGGAACACCGGUGGCGAAGGCGGGUCUCUGGGUAGUAACUGACGCUGAGGAGCGAAAGCGUGGGUAGCGAACAGGAUUAKAUACCCUGGKAGUCCACGCCGUAAACGGUGGGUACUAGGUGUGGGUUCCAUUUCACGGGAUCCGUGCCGUAGCUAACGCCUUAAGUACCCCGCCUGGGGAGUACGGCCGCAAGGCUAAAACUC
RNAcentral lists this ribosomal RNA (506 nucleotides) under uncultured bacterium. Its description in RNAcentral is "bacterial SSU rRNA". It matches the Rfam family "Bacterial small subunit ribosomal RNA", at positions 386 to 902 of the family's 1533-position model. The record is from RNAcentral.